Molecule: ribosomal RNA, 1687 nt
Filed under: Escherichia coli
Lineage: Bacteria; Pseudomonadati; Pseudomonadota; Gammaproteobacteria; Enterobacterales; Enterobacteriaceae
Description: partial 23S ribosomal RNA
Rfam family: Bacterial large subunit ribosomal RNA
Source: RNAcentral
AUGCUGGAGGUAUCAGAAGUGCGAAUGCUGACAUAAGUAACGAUAAAGCGGGUGAAAAGCCCGCUCGCCGGAAGACCAAGGGUUCCUGUCCAACGUUAAUCGGGGCAGGGUGAGUCGACCCCUAAGGCGAGGCCGAAAGGCGUAGUCGAUGGGAAACAGGUUAAUAUUCCUGUACUUGGUGUUACUGCGAAGGGGGGACGGAGAAGGCUAUGUUGGCCGGGCGACGGUUGUCCCGGUUUAAGCGUGUAGGCUGGUUUUCCAGGCAAAUCCGGAAAAYYAAGGCUGAGGCGUGAUGACGAGGCACUACGGUGCUGAAGCAACAAAUGCCCUGCUUCCAGGAAAAGCCUCUAAGCAUCAGGUAACAUCAAAUCGUACCCCAAACCGACACAGGUGGUCAGGUAGAGAAUACCAAGGCGCUUGAGAGAACUCGGGUGAAGGAACUAGGCAAAAUGGUGCCGUAACUUCGGGAGAAGGCACGCUGAUAUGUAGGUGAAGCGACUUGCUCGUGGAGCUGAAAUCAGUCGAAGAUACCAGCUGGCUGCAACUGUUUAUUAAAAACACAGCACUGUGCAAACACGAAAGUGGACGUAUACGGUGUGACGCCUGCCCGGUGCCGGAAGGUUAAUUGAUGGGGUYAGCGCAAGCGAAGCUCUUGAUCGAAGCCCCGGUAAACGGCGGCCGUAACUAUAACGGUCCUAAGGUAGCGAAAUUCCUUGUCGGGUAAGUUCCGACCUGCACGAAUGGCGUAAUGAUGGCCAGGCUGUCUCCACCCGAGACUCAGUGAAAUUGAACUCGCUGUGAAGAUGCAGUGUACCCGCGGCAAGACGGAAAGACCCCGUGAACCUUUACUAUAGCUUGACACUGAACAUUGAGCCUUGAUGUGUAGGAUAGGUGGGAGGCUUKGAAGUGUGGACGCCAGUCUGCAUGGAGCCGACCUUGAAAUACCACCCUUUAAUGUUUGAUGUUCUAACGUUGACCCGURAUCCGGGUUGCGGACAGUGUCUGGUGGGUAGUUUGACUGGGGCGGUCUCCUCCUAAAGAGUAACGGAGGAGCACGAAGGUUGGCUAAUCCUGGUCGGACAUCAGGAGGUUAGUGCAAUGGCAUAAGCCAGCUUGACUGCGAGCGUGACGGCGCGAGCAGGUGCGAAAGCAGGUCAUAGUGAUCCGGUGGUUCUGAAUGGAAGGGCCAUCGCUCAACGGAUAAAAGGUACUCCGGGGAUAACAGGCUGAUACCGCCCAAGAGUUCAUAUCGACGGCGGUGUUUGGCACCUCGAUGUCGGCUCAUCACAUCCUGGGGCUGAAGUAGGUCCCAAGGGUAUGGCUGUUCGCCAUUUAAAGUGGUACGCGAGCUGGGUUUAGAACGUCGUGAGACAGUUCGGUCCCUAUCUGCCGUGGGCGCUGGAGAAYUGAGGGGGGCUGCUCCUAGUACGAGAGGACCGGAGUGGACGCAUCACUGGUGUUCGGGUUGUCAUGCCAAUGGCACUGCCCGGUAGCUAAAUGCGGAAGAGAUAAGUGCUGAAAGCAUCUAAGCACGAAACUUGCCCCGAGAUGAGUUCUCCCUGACUCCUUGAGAGUCCUGAAGGAACGUUGAAGACGACGACGUUGAUAGGCCGGGUGUGUAAGCGCAGCGAUGCGUUGAGCUAACCGGUACUAAUGAACCGUGAGGCUUAACCUUACAACGCCGAAG